GUCUACGGCCAUACCACCCUGAACGCGCCCGGUCUCGUCUGAUCUCGGAAGCUAAGCAGGGUCGGGCCUGGUUAGUACUUGGAUGGGAGAAAACAAAAGCAAAGAAA
This 107-nucleotide ribosomal RNA is filed under the name Vicugna pacos (alpaca). The record is from RNAcentral. Lineage: Eukaryota; Metazoa; Chordata; Mammalia; Artiodactyla; Camelidae.